AUGAAAGACUCUAUGGAGCAAUGUUGGUGUCCAUCAAAAUCUUCUUUGAGUGCUAAAAUUUCAUCCAAGAUUGAACCACCAAACCCCGGAAUGGUCACUGCAGUGACAUCACUACUCAGGUCUUUGGGAGAAGACCCAUUAANNNNCUUGUUGGAACUCCUAAUCGUUUUGUGAAGUGGUUGAUGAACUUCCAGAAUGCAAAACUGGAGAUGAAGCUGAAUGGCUUUGGUUGUGGCAGGAUAGAUACUCUUAAAGCCAA
This 259-nucleotide unclassified non-coding RNA is filed under the name Hevea brasiliensis (rubber tree). The record is from RNAcentral. Lineage: Eukaryota; Viridiplantae; Streptophyta; Magnoliopsida; Malpighiales; Euphorbiaceae.